AUCAUUUUAGUAAAAGUUAUAUUAUAUUAUCUUGAUAGGAUAAAGUUCGUUUUGAAAUGAUA
Molecule: transfer RNA, 62 nt
Filed under: Halicephalobus gingivalis
Lineage: Eukaryota; Metazoa; Nematoda; Chromadorea; Rhabditida; Panagrolaimidae
Description: tRNA-Ile
Source: RNAcentral